This 349-nucleotide long non-coding RNA is filed under the name Homo sapiens (human). Its description in RNAcentral is "non-protein coding lnc-ANKRD33B-13:1". Lineage: Eukaryota; Metazoa; Chordata; Mammalia; Primates; Hominidae. The record is from RNAcentral.
ACUUAUAGCUCUGCAAUACUGCACUUAUUUAGAUGGUAAGGCACCUGACAGUCUCCAUGCUAAGUAACUCUCCUCAUGCAUUUCAACAUCGCCAUCAUUCUCCUAUUACUCCUCCAAGCCCUCUUCCAUCGGGGAAUAGAGCUGGUGCAGCGCUUUCAGUUCAUUGUACUCCUGGGGGAGAAUAAUGCUCUUCAACUGAUCUGGUGUCUCAGUCAAACUUAGAUCCCUCUGAAAGUCAGAUCCUUUCAGCGUAGCAUCCCUGAGUGCCGUGUUGGCAGGAAGCGAGACUCGUACCUUAGGCUGAAUGGAUUUCUUCUAACCAAUCCCAGAUAUCAGAGUAGUGCAAAGU